AGGGAUUUAGCUCAGCGGCAUAAGCACCUGCCUGGCAAGCAUGAGGUCAUGAGUUCAAUCCCUA
This 64-nucleotide transfer RNA is filed under the name Cavia porcellus (domestic guinea pig). It matches the Rfam family "tRNA". From Rfam's summary of the family: Transfer RNA (tRNA) molecules are approximately 80 nucleotides in length. Their secondary structure includes four short double-helical elements and three loops (D, anti-codon, and T loops). Further hydrogen bonds mediate the characteristic L-shaped molecular structure. tRNAs have two regions of fundamental functional importance: the anti-codon, which is responsible for specific mRNA codon recognition, and the 3' end, to which the tRNAs corresponding amino acid is attached (by aminoacyl-tRNA synthetases). tRNAs cope with the degeneracy of the genetic code in two manners: having more than one tRNA (with a specific anti-codon) for a particular amino acid; and 'wobble' base-pairing, i.e. permitting non-standard base-pairing at the 3rd anti-codon position. The record is from Rfam by way of RNAcentral. Lineage: Eukaryota; Metazoa; Chordata; Mammalia; Rodentia; Caviidae.